CCUACGGGGUGCAGCAGUGGGGGAUAUUGCACAAUGGGGGAAACCCUGAUGCAGCGACGCCGCGUGUGGGAAGACGGUCCUCUGGAUUGUAAACCACUGUCCCCAGGGACGAAGAUGACGGUACCUGGGGAGGAAGCUCCGGCUAACUACGUGCCAGCAGCCGCGGUAAUACGUAGGGAGCGAGCGUUGUCCGGAAUUACUGGGUGUAAAGGGAGCGUAGGCGGGGAUGCAAGUUGGGUGUAAAAACUACCGGCUCAACUGGGAGUCGCACUCAAAACUGCAGCUCUUGAGUGAAGUAGAGGCAGGCGGAAUGCCUGGUGUAGCGGUGAAAUGCGUAGAUAUUAGGAGGAACACCAGUGGCGAAGGCGGCCUGCUGGGCUUUUACUGACGCUGAGGCUCGAAAGUGUGGGGAGCAAACAGGAUUAGAUACCCUUGUAGUC
RNAcentral lists this ribosomal RNA (440 nucleotides) under uncultured bacterium. RNAcentral's name for it is "partial 16S ribosomal RNA". It matches the Rfam family "Bacterial small subunit ribosomal RNA", at positions 338 to 795 of the family's 1533-position model. The record is from RNAcentral.